CGGAUCGCAGGCUGCAACCCGCCUGCGUGAAGUCGGAAUCGCUAGUAAUCGCGGAUCAGCAUGCCGCGGUGAAUACGUUCCCGGGCCUUGUACACACCGCCCGUCACACCAUGAGAGUCGGGAACACCCGAAGUCCGUAGCCUAACCAAUCUGGAGGGCGCGGCCGAAGGUGGGUUCGAUAAUUGGGGUGAAGUCGUAACAAGGUAAC
This 208-nucleotide ribosomal RNA is filed under the name uncultured bacterium. Its description in RNAcentral is "partial 16S ribosomal RNA". It matches the Rfam family "Bacterial small subunit ribosomal RNA", at positions 1294 to 1500 of the family's 1533-position model. The record is from RNAcentral.